Molecule: ribosomal RNA, 140 nt
Filed under: Fuligo rufa
Lineage: Eukaryota; Evosea; Eumycetozoa; Physariida; Physaraceae
Description: Fuligo septica var. rufa partial small subunit ribosomal RNA
Source: RNAcentral
AAGGGUAAAAUUGUUGAUAUUGGAAGACAUACGAUAGCGAAAGCAAUAACUGAUUUGGAUCUGACACUAGGUACGAAAGUAUGGGGAUAAAUAGGAUUAGAGACCUAGUAGUCCAUACCUAAACAAUGAGUGUCAACGUC